This 453-nucleotide ribosomal RNA is filed under the name uncultured organism. RNAcentral describes it as "partial 16S ribosomal RNA". It matches the Rfam family "Bacterial small subunit ribosomal RNA", at positions 329 to 798 of the family's 1533-position model. The record is from RNAcentral.
ACGUACACUCCUACGGGAGGCAGCAGUGGGGAAUAUUGGACAAUGGGCGCAAGCCUGCUCCAGCCAUGCCGCGUGAGUGAUGAAGGCCCUAGGGUUGUAAAGCUCUUUCACCGGUGAAGAUAAUGACGGUAACCGGAGAAGAAGCCCCGGCUAACUUCGUGCCAGCAGCCGCGGUAAUACGAAGGGGGCUAGCGUUGUUCGGAUUUACUGGGCGUAAAGCGCACGUAGGCGGACUAUUAAGUCAGGGGUGAAAUCCCGGGGCUCAACCCCGGAACUGCCUUUGAUACUGGUAGUCUUGAGUUCGAGAGAGGUGAGUGGAAUUCCGAGUGUAGAGGUGAAAUUCGUAGAUAUUCGGAGGAACACCAGUGGCGAAGGCGGCUCACUGGCUCGAUACUGACGCUGAGGUGCGAAAGCGUGGGGAGCAAACAGGAUUAGAUACCCCAGUAGUCCCAU